This 442-nucleotide ribosomal RNA is filed under the name Prevotella sp. oral taxon 298. RNAcentral's name for it is "bacterial SSU rRNA". It matches the Rfam family "Bacterial small subunit ribosomal RNA", at positions 28 to 458 of the family's 1533-position model. Lineage: Bacteria; Pseudomonadati; Bacteroidota; Bacteroidia; Bacteroidales; Prevotellaceae. The record is from RNAcentral.
GAUGAACGCUAGCUACAGGCUUAACACAUGCAAGUCGAGGGGAAACGGCAUUAAGUGCUUGCACUUUUUGGACGUCGACCGGCGCACGGGUGAGUAACGCGUAUCCAACCUUCCCAUGACUAAGGGAUAACCUGCCGAAAGGCAGACUAAUACCUUAUGGUCUUCACUGACGGCAUCAGAUGUGAAGUAAAGAUUUAUCGGUUAUGGAUGGGGAUGCGUCUGAUUAGCUUGUUGGCGGGGUAACGGCCCACCAAGGCGACGAUCAGUAGGGGUUCUGAGAGGAAGGUCCCCCACAUUGGAACUGAGACACGGUCCAAACUCCUACGGGAGGCAGCAGUGAGGAAUAUUGGUCAAUGGGCGAGAGCCUGAACCAGCCAAGUAGCGUGCAGGAUGACGGCCCUAUGGGUUGUAAACUGCUUUUGUAUGGGGAUAAAGUCAAUCA